ACGGCAGCCCGGAACGCCGGUAACGGAAGUAAAACGGUCAGCUGAUUUCCCGCUGCACGUGACCACGAAGGGAGGCGGCAGUUAAGGACAAUCAGAUACUUAACAAGAAGCCAAGCAGGACAGGAACAUACAGUAGCAAAUCUUUCUGCCUAUGUCCACUAACAACUGAUGCUGUGUAGGACAAUUUGGCCAGGAUUGCCAUGGCAAGAGAAUGGAUAGUAGAAACCAUAUACAUGAAGCUGCUGUAGAAGGAGGCCUUUGUACAGACAUGAAGGCCACAAUGGUAGUGGUUGCCAUGGCAGCAAAUUAUGACCUAAUGCAAAAUGGUCAUUAGGGGGAUGAAGUUGCCAUGGCAGUGGAAUGGUUAGUAGUACUUGACCUUCCACCCAAUCAAUGUCCUCCCCCACACCCCCCAAAUAAAUUUCUGUACUCC
This is a long non-coding RNA of Thamnophis sirtalis, 433 nucleotides long. RefSeq lists it as uncharacterized. The record is from RefSeq and is a predicted model, not a curated record. NCBI's taxonomy places the organism in Eukaryota, Metazoa, Chordata, Lepidosauria, Squamata, Natricidae.